CAUUACCGUACAACGAGGGAGGCCCGAAGGCUGUCGCUGACCCCCCCUUUUUAARGGGGGUCGUGCACGCCGUCGGUGUCGUCCUCACACAAUCAAAUCCACCUCACCUUUUGUGCAUCGCCGCGUGGGUUCCGGAAGGGGCCUGCGCCUUUUACACACGCAUGAUUCAGUGUAGAAUGUCCUUUGCAUUUGUAUGCAAUCAAUACAACUUUCAACAACGGAUCUCUUGGCUCUCGCAUCGAUGAAGAACGCAGCGAAAUGCGAUACGUAAUGUGAAUUGCAGAAUUCAGUGAAUCAUCGAAUCUUUGAACGCACCUUGCGCCCCUUGGCAUUCCGAGGGGCACACCCGUUUGAGUGUCGUGAAAUCCUCAACCCUUCUUCGUUUCUUUUUGAUUCGAAGAAAGGCUUGGAAUUUGGAGGCUUUUGCUGGCCUCUAUUGAAGCCAGCUCCUCUUAAAUGCAUUAGCAGGGUCUCCUCAGCUGGAUCCCUUGACGUGAUAAGCAUUUUACGUCUCGAAGGGUUUUCUGGCUCUGCCCGCUUCCAACCGUCUCGUCGAGACAAACCUUUUUGAACCUUUGACCUCAAAUCGGGUGAGACUACCCGCUGAACUUAAGCAUAUCAAUAAGCGGAGGAAAAGAAACUAACAAGGAUUCCCCUAGUAACUGCGAGUGAAGCGGGAAAAGCUCAAAUUUAAAAUCUGGCGGUCUUUGGCCGUUCGAGUUGUAAUUUAGAGAAGCGUCUUCCGCGCUGGACCGUGCACAAGUCUCCUGGAACGGAGCGUCAUAGAGGGUGAGAAUCCCGUCUUUGGCACGGAACCCCGGUGCUUCUGUGAUGCGCUCUCGAAGAGUCGAGUUGUUUGGGAAUGCAGCUCAAAAUGGGUGGUGAACUCCAUCUAAAGCUAAAUAUUGGCGAGAGACCGUUAGCGAACAAGUACCGUGAGGGAAAGAUGAAAAGCACUUUGGAAAGAGAGUGAAACAGUACGUGAAAUUGUUGAAAGGGAAACGCUUGAAGUCAGUCGCGUCGAUCGAGACUCAGCCUUGCCUUGGCUUGGUGUACUUCUCGACCGACGGGCCAGCAUCAAUUUUGCCUCUCGGAUAAUGGCAAGGGAAAGGUGGCACCCUYACGGGUGUGUUAUAGUCUCCUGUCGCAUGCGAGGGGUGGGAUUGAGGAACUCAGCACGCACCUUCUAGGUGUCGGG
RNAcentral lists this ribosomal RNA (1198 nucleotides) under Lactifluus longisporus. Its description in RNAcentral is "eukaryotic LSU rRNA". The stretch from base 577 to 1198 matches the Rfam family "Eukaryotic large subunit ribosomal RNA", at positions 1 to 622 of the family's 3401-position model. The record is from RNAcentral. Lineage: Eukaryota; Fungi; Basidiomycota; Agaricomycetes; Russulales; Russulaceae.